Molecule: ribosomal RNA, 459 nt
Filed under: uncultured bacterium
Lineage: Bacteria
Description: partial 16S ribosomal RNA
Rfam family: Bacterial small subunit ribosomal RNA
Source: RNAcentral
CCUACGGGUGGCAGCAGUGAGGAAUAUUGGUCAAUGGCCGGAAGGCUGAACCAGCCAUGCCGCGUGAAGGUCAGUGCCCUAUGGGCGUUAAACUUCUUUUGUUCGGGAGCAAUAAUGGUCACGUGUGGCCAGACGAGAGUACCGUACGAAUAAGCAUCCGCUAACUCCGUGCCAGCAGCCGCGGUAAUACGUAGGUGGCAAGCGUUAUCCGGAUUUACUGGGUGUAAAGGGCGUGUAGGCGGGACUGCAAGUCAGAUGUGAAAACCACGGGGUCAACCUGUGGCGUGCAUUUGAAACUGUAGGUCUUGAGUACUGGAGAGGCAGACGGAAUGCCUGGUGUAGCGGUGAAAUGCGUAGAUAUUAGGAGGAACACCAGUGGCGAAGGCGGUCUGCUGGACAGCAACUGACGCUGAGGCGCGAAAGCGUGGGGAGCAAACAGGAUUAGAUACCCGAGUAGUC